Mauremys mutica (yellowpond turtle) is the source of this 359-nucleotide long non-coding RNA. RefSeq lists it as uncharacterized. The transcript is spliced from 3 exons. The record is from RefSeq and is a predicted model, not a curated record. Lineage: Eukaryota; Metazoa; Chordata; Testudines; Geoemydidae.
AUACUGGGCUAGAUGGACCUUUGGUCAGACCCAGUAGGGCCGUUCUUAUAAUACAAUGCAUACCGUAGUACAUAACUCUUUAAACAUCACAUGAUUGUCAUGGAUAGGGCUUAGGUUUCACAGGCUGUGCCCCAGCAUCCCCACCAAAACAAAAUGGCCAUCUCAAAAUGUGCCCCCUGCAUCCACUACACUUCUCUCAACUCCAAUAUGGAACGGAGGAAGUUACAGGCACAAUCCUAGUGAAUUCAGGUGUGGACAGAACUGGACCUAUGCUUAAGUUUUGUGUCCAGUGCUUAAGACAGACAGGAGUCAUAAGAGCUGCCACAAAUCUACAAGCCACCGUUUCACUACAGUGUGAC